GCCCAGCUGACUCAGUUAGUAGAGCAUGUGACUCUUGAUCUCGGGGUCAUGAGUUCAAGCCCCAUGUUGAGUG
RNAcentral lists this transfer RNA (73 nucleotides) under Felis catus (domestic cat). It matches the Rfam family "tRNA". From Rfam's summary of the family: Transfer RNA (tRNA) molecules are approximately 80 nucleotides in length. The record is from Rfam by way of RNAcentral. Lineage: Eukaryota; Metazoa; Chordata; Mammalia; Carnivora; Felidae.